GACCUCAUAGUAAAAGGGAUAUUACAAAAUCCUCCUAAGAUUUAGUUCCAGGUUCGAGUCCUGGUGGGGUCACCA
RNAcentral lists this transfer RNA (75 nucleotides) under Bacillota bacterium. RNAcentral's name for it is "tRNA-Arg". It matches the Rfam family "tRNA". Rfam says of the family: Transfer RNA (tRNA) molecules are approximately 80 nucleotides in length. Their secondary structure includes four short double-helical elements and three loops (D, anti-codon, and T loops). RNAcentral also lists the same sequence under 1 other name. The record is from RNAcentral. Lineage: Bacteria; Bacillati; Bacillota.